AUGACGACAUCCGAUGGCCGUGCUGCACGUCUUCGAAGCGUCCGCGGUGAAGAUGACCCGCCACAACCUCUCGUCCGCACCGCCAUGUCCGUGCACCCCUUCUGCUUCUACCGGCAGAAACCGGAGACCCGGAGCUCAUCAGGUUGUGUUCAUGUGCUGCAAACCUUCCGAAGAUCGUCGACGCCUGUGAUGUCCGGCAACAACAGCCUGAUGGAACUCACGAGCCCACACACCAUGGUCGCGUUCAUGACCGCCACCAUAGUCUGCAAUUCUGCAUGCACCUCCCUCUGGGGCACCUUCAUGACCGCCACAUGGUGCAGUCGACGACAGCACGGACGUCAUCGGGGUUGCCGACCAUGA
Molecule: ribosomal RNA, 360 nt
Filed under: Triticum aestivum (bread wheat)
Lineage: Eukaryota; Viridiplantae; Streptophyta; Magnoliopsida; Poales; Poaceae
Description: partial small subunit ribosomal RNA
Source: RNAcentral